AUUCCAAGGGCCAGGUUUUCUUGGAUCAAAGUCCAACUGCAGGAAGGAACAUGUCUAUACCAAAAGGCAAGCAAAUGGUUGGAAAUAAAAGUGGUUCUGAGGAUGGGGCCUGUAGCUGAUGGUACGUGGACCAUCUUGUCACCGCACCAAGCCUCCAUCUCCACAGCCUACACCGUCCUUGCCAAAUGGCCAAGAUCUCCAUACCCCAGGUCCUAGCAACUCUGAUCACACCUCACCGACUUCAGCAAAGUCCUGUGAUUCCUCCACACCUAUGAUGAACCUACCAGCUUCACACCCAUGAUGAGAUCUGAAAGUCAGGCUUCUUAUCAAUCAGGUGCUGGGCAGAAAUGGAAGUUGAUGAUGAUGCACCUGCCCAUCUUUCUCCAAGUUCCUCUGACAGCUGUCCCAGAAGAGCAUCAAAACACGGAUGACCUGGGAGUCUACACCCUAGGCGACCUUGAGUUCAGUGAACUGUUGGCUAAGGAGAGUUCCUUAGGACACCUGGCUGCCUGUUUCAGUAAAGGGACAGGGGAUGGAAAGAAUCAGUGA
RNAcentral lists this long non-coding RNA (549 nucleotides) under Mus spicilegus (steppe mouse). RNAcentral describes it as "lncRNA (ENSMSIG00000022791.1)". Lineage: Eukaryota; Metazoa; Chordata; Mammalia; Rodentia; Muridae. The record is from RNAcentral.